Long non-coding RNA from Mus musculus (house mouse), 459 nucleotides. RefSeq annotates it as predicted gene, 53554. The transcript has 4 exons. NCBI's taxonomy places the organism in Eukaryota, Metazoa, Chordata, Mammalia, Rodentia, Muridae. The record is from RefSeq and is a predicted model, not a curated record.
GUCCUGACUGUGGAGCUUUGUAGUAUCUUGAACUCAGCAGACUACUCCAAUUUUGAUGCUCAAAGGAAGUAUUUUGUCUCUAUUUUCAGCUUCCCUUUAAAAUGAUAUCCUUGACUUUUUCCUACUGUAAACUCAUUGAGCUCCUUGGGGAAUUGGUGACUCAUCAGUGUGUCUGGGAAGUUUUGAGCUUUUUUUCCCUUUCCUUUUCUUCUAAACCAGCCAUAUGGAUUGUCAUUCUUCAAGAUCCAGUUCAGUGCCCUUCAGAGUUUACUUUGGUUGAAGAAAUGGUGUGUCUCUGUUCUCCUGUGUGUUAACCAGAAGCCACAUGCAGCUAUUGAGAAUGUGCAAUGGGACUGAUGUGACCAAGGAGUUGGGUUUUAUGGAAUUGCCACCCACUUCCAGUUACACUUAUGUGCAGAAUUCUACAUUCCUCUGAAGUGGCUUCUCAUCUGUCUUCAU